The sequence is a transfer RNA, 74 nucleotides long. It matches the Rfam family "tRNA". Rfam says of the family: Transfer RNA (tRNA) molecules are approximately 80 nucleotides in length. Their secondary structure includes four short double-helical elements and three loops (D, anti-codon, and T loops). The record is from Rfam.
GCACCCCUAGCUCAACUGGAUAGAGCAUCGGUCUACGAAACCGAAGGUUACUGGUUCGAAUCCAGUGGGGUGUA